GAUGAACGCUGGCGGCGUGCUUAACACAUGCAAGUCGAACGAUGAAGCCCAGCUUGCUGGGUGGAUUAGUGGCGAACGGGUGAGUAACACGUGAGUAACCUGCCCUUAACUCUGGGAUAAGCCUGGGAAACUGGGUCUAAUACCGGAUAGGAGCGUCCACCGCAUGGUGGGUGUUGGAAAGAUUUAUCGGUUUUGGAUGGACUCGCGGCCUAUCAGCUUGUUGGUGAGGUAAUGGCUCACCAAGGCGACGACGGGUAGCCGGCCUGAGAGGGUGACCGGCCACACUGGGACUGAGACAGGGCCCAGACUCCAACGGGAGGCAGCAGUGGGGAAUAUUGCACAAUGGGCGCGAGCCUGAUGCAGCGACGCCGCGUGAGGGAUGACGGCCUUCGGGGUGUAAACCUCUUUCAGUAGGGAAGAAGCGAAAGUGACGGUACCUGCAGAAGAAGCACCGGCUAACUACGUG
RNAcentral lists this ribosomal RNA (466 nucleotides) under uncultured bacterium. RNAcentral's name for it is "partial 16S ribosomal RNA". It matches the Rfam family "Bacterial small subunit ribosomal RNA", at positions 28 to 507 of the family's 1533-position model. The record is from RNAcentral.